GAUGAAGAACGUAGCGAAAUGCGAUAAGUAAUGUGAAUUGCAGAAUUCAGUGAAUCAACGAAUCUUUGAACGCACAUUGCGCCCCUUGGUAUUCCGAGGGGCAUGCCUGUUCGAGCGUCAUUAUAACCCUCAAGCUCAGCUUGGUGUUGGGGCCUGCUGCACUGGCAGCCCUUAAAAUCAGUGGCGGCGCCAUCUGGCUCUAAGCGUAGUAAUUCUUCUCGCUAUGGAGUCCUGGUGGAUGCUUGCCAUCAACCCCCAAUUUUUCUAUGGUUGACCUCGGAUCAGGUAGGGAUACCCGCUGAACUUAAGCAUAUCAAUAAGCGGAGGA
This 328-nucleotide unclassified non-coding RNA is filed under the name soil metagenome. Its description in RNAcentral is "partial contains 5.8S ribosomal RNA, internal transcribed spacer 2, and large subunit ribosomal RNA". The stretch from base 1 to 120 matches the Rfam family "5.8S ribosomal RNA", at positions 35 to 154 of the family's 154-position model. The record is from RNAcentral.